UACGGGGGGGGCAAGCGUUGUUCGGAAUUACUGGGCGUAAAGGGCUCGUAGGCGGCCCACUAAGUCCGACGUGAAAUCCCCAGGCUUAACUUGGGAACUGCGUCGGAUACUGGUGGGCUUGAAUCCGGGAGAGGGAUGCGGAAUUCCAGGUGUAGCGGUGAAAUGCGUAGAUAUCUGGAGGAACACCGGUGGCGAAGGCGGCAUCCUGGACCGGUAUUGACGCUGAGUGAGCGAAAGCCAGGGGAGCAAACGGG
RNAcentral lists this ribosomal RNA (254 nucleotides) under uncultured bacterium. RNAcentral's name for it is "partial 16S ribosomal RNA". It matches the Rfam family "Bacterial small subunit ribosomal RNA", at positions 524 to 776 of the family's 1533-position model. The record is from RNAcentral.